RNAcentral lists this transfer RNA (110 nucleotides) under Archaeoglobus fulgidus DSM 4304. It matches the Rfam family "tRNA". Rfam says of the family: Transfer RNA (tRNA) molecules are approximately 80 nucleotides in length. Their secondary structure includes four short double-helical elements and three loops (D, anti-codon, and T loops). The record is from Rfam by way of RNAcentral. Lineage: Archaea; Methanobacteriati; Methanobacteriota; Archaeoglobi; Archaeoglobales; Archaeoglobaceae.
GCCCGGGUGGUGUAGUCCGGCCUAUCAUGCGGGCCUGUCGUGGAGAUGGGGUCCUUAAGCCCUAAAUCCGCGGAAAGCCCGCGACUCGGGUUCAAAUCCCGGCCCGGGCG